GUGCCAAGCAGCCGCGGUAAUCCCAGCUCCAAUAGCGUAUAUUAAAGUUGUUGCCGUUAAAAAGCUCGUAGUCGAACUUCGGCGCCUGAUGGCCGGUCCGCCUUCUUGGUGUGUACUUGCUCAUCGGGCGCUUACCUCCUGGUGAACUCUGAUGUCCUUUACUGGGUGUCAGAGCAAACCAGGACGUUUACUUUGAAAAAAUUAGAGUGUUCAAAGCAGGCCUACGCCCGAAUACAUUAGCAUGGAAUAAUAGAAUAGGACGCGCGUUCCCAUUUUGUUGGUUUCUGAGAUCGCCGUAAUGAUUAAUAGGGAUAGUUGGGGGCAUUUGUAUUCCGUCGUCAGAGGUGAAAUUCUUGGAUUGCCGGAAGACAAACUACUGCGAAAGCAUUUGCCAAGGAUGUUUUCAUUGAUCAAGAACGAAGGAAGGGGGAUCGAAAACGAUCAGAUACCGUUGUAGUCUCUUCUGUAAACUAUGCCAAUUGGGGAUUAGCACAGGAUUUUCAAUGACUGUGUUAGCACCCGAAGAGAAAUCUUUAAAUGAGGUUCGGGGGGGAGUAUGGUCGCAAGGCUGAAACUUAAAGGAAUUGACGGAAGGGCACCACCAGGUGUGGAGCCUGCGGCUUAAUUUGACUCAACACGGGGAAACUCACCAGGUCCAGACACAAUAAGGAUUGACAGAUUGAUAGCUCUUUCUUGAUCUUGUGGUUGGUGGUGCAUGGCCGUUCUUAGUUGGUGGAGUGAUUUGUCUGGUUAAUUCCGAUAACGAACGAGACCUUAACCUGCUAAAUAGACCAGUCGACUUUGGUUGACUGCUGUCUUCUUAGAGGGACUAUCAGCGUUUAGCUGAUGGAAGUUUGAGGCAAUAACAGGUCUGUGAUGCCC
RNAcentral lists this ribosomal RNA (882 nucleotides) under uncultured Sporidiobolales. Its description in RNAcentral is "SSU rRNA". It matches the Rfam family "Eukaryotic small subunit ribosomal RNA", at positions 564 to 1472 of the family's 1831-position model. The record is from RNAcentral. Lineage: Eukaryota; Fungi; Basidiomycota; Microbotryomycetes; Sporidiobolales.